RNAcentral lists this long non-coding RNA (1196 nucleotides) under Anser brachyrhynchus (Pink-footed goose). RNAcentral describes it as "lncRNA (ENSABRG00000015931.1)". The record is from RNAcentral. Lineage: Eukaryota; Metazoa; Chordata; Aves; Anseriformes; Anatidae.
AUUCUGAGAUGUGUCAUCUCGGUGCUGAGGAAUGUGCAUUGGAGGCAGUGCUGGAGGUGACACUGUUGCUCAAGUAUGGCUGGUUAUGGUUAUGAAGCAGGCUGCGCCUGCUUCAUCCAUGGACAGAUGCUCACUCUGCCUGCCCCAACUCUUCUUGCUGCCACAGUUCUCCCUUUGGCUCUGCCAGCAGAAGAUGUCACUGUUCUCAAACCUGCACCCUUCCGAAAACAAGAGAUGUGAGGAGCAGGCUUGGAGCUUUAGACAGGAACUGAAUGAUCUGAACCAAAAAUCACUCUCUUGGCAACUGUUGUACAAGUAUAGCCAAUGCAUGAAAUAUCUUUUCUGACUCCUCCUGCAUCUGACUUUUCCUUUUUGAUGGCUCUGAAACCACAUCUGUUUGACAAGGCUAAGCUGCUUGAUGCAUAUCUUACUCCCCUAACCAACAGAAGCGCAGAAAAUGGGUGCUUCAGUAGAGAGUCAGUAGGCAGUGUCAGAUGAAAGACACACUUCUUCCUGCAAUUCUAGCCAACUGCGCUUGCUGAAAGAAAAAUACAGCUCAAGAGAAGUGUAUGUGAUAUUUCUUCCUCCAUCCAGCACUCAGCUGCAGUUCCCUGUGCACCUUAAGGCAGUGAUCAUUUGCCAGAGCGUACACAGAUGGGAAAAAAUACCACUGGAAAUAGCUGGAGCCGUGAUAUUUAUCUUAAGACAGAGAGGAGAUCUACUAGAGGCCCGAUGCAGGCUUCUCUCUCUCUCUCCAUCCAGGCAGGCAGGUGGGCUUUGCCUGGACACAUCCUCCAGCCACGCACUGCACACCCAGCAGGCAUGCCCGGAGCUCAGCCAGGAGAACCCAUGCGAUGGUGGUGUGUGAGAUGCCAGAUUCCUACCAGGUCAGAGACAGGUCAGGAGUGAGAAAAUGCAGAAGAAAUGCAGCCCAACUCAUUCCACAGGCCCACUGUCACGCUGCUGUUGAGUCUGUGUGUGUGUGUUGCAAUUACAGUGCAUGGCCCACCAAGUGUAUCUGAAGAGCCGGCUUGGUCCCUGGUAAAGGAAUGUUCCCAGACGUGCUGCAGAGACUUUGCCUGUUGUGUGAUAUGUACAGCAUUUCUUUCCCUUUGUUCCAGAAAGGAGCAUUUGGCUUAUGGUUACUUGGACGCACUGCAAAAAAAUAAAGCAUUGCAUUAUGAGAAAGGGAGCCA